GUGGGGAAUAUUGCACAAUGGGCGCAAGCCUGAUGCAGCCAUGCCGCGUGUAUGAAGAAGGCCUUAGGGUUGUAAAGUACUUUCAGCGGGGAGGAAGGUGAUAAGGUUAAUACCCUUAUCAAUUGACGUUACCCGCAGAAGAAGCACCGGCUAACUCCGUGCCAGCAGCCGCGGUAAUACGGAGGGUGCAAGCGUUAAUCGGAAUUACUGGGCGUAAAGCGCACGCAGGCGGUCAAUUAAGUCAGAUGUGAAAGCCCCGAGCUUAACUUGGGAAUUGCAUCUGAAACUGGUUGGCUAGAGUCUUGUAGAGGGGGGUAGAAUUCCAUGUGUAGCGGUGAAAUGCGUAGAGAUGUGGAGGAAUACCGGUGGCGAAGGCGGCCCCCUGGACAAAGACUGACGCUCAGGUGCGAAAGCGUGGGGAGCAAACAGG
RNAcentral lists this ribosomal RNA (430 nucleotides) under bacterium. RNAcentral describes it as "bacterial SSU rRNA". It matches the Rfam family "Bacterial small subunit ribosomal RNA", at positions 354 to 776 of the family's 1533-position model. The record is from RNAcentral. RNAcentral also lists the same sequence under 1 other name.